AGCUCCAAUAGCGUAUAUUAAAGUUGUUGCAGUUAAAAAGCUCGUAGUUGAACCAAAGUAAUGAUAAAUAGGGAUAGUUGGGGGCAUUCGUAUUCAACAGCUAGAGGUGAAAUUCUUAGAUUUGUUGAGGACGAACUACAGCGAAAGCAUUUGCCAAGGAUGUUUUCA
This 168-nucleotide ribosomal RNA is filed under the name uncultured eukaryote. RNAcentral describes it as "partial small subunit ribosomal RNA". The stretch from base 45 to 168 matches the Rfam family "Eukaryotic small subunit ribosomal RNA", at positions 849 to 972 of the family's 1831-position model. The record is from RNAcentral.